RNAcentral lists this long non-coding RNA (202 nucleotides) under Carica papaya (papaya). Its description in RNAcentral is "long non-coding RNA (CPAP_LNC012696)". The record is from RNAcentral. Lineage: Eukaryota; Viridiplantae; Streptophyta; Magnoliopsida; Brassicales; Caricaceae.
UCCAAGCCAAUAGCUCAUCUCUAGCCAAGCCUGCCAUAACCCAGUUAAUACCCAGAAUUCCAUACCCCACAACUUAUACACCACCGGCCACGAAAGAAGCACAUGGUUACAAGUCUAAUCGGCUUUUUUACACAGAUAGCAAGCGUUCACCAUAAUCUUGUUCUGUCUCAUUAAUUUAUUUGUAGUCAAAAUACACCAGUCU